This 522-nucleotide ribosomal RNA is filed under the name uncultured bacterium. RNAcentral describes it as "bacterial SSU rRNA". It matches the Rfam family "Bacterial small subunit ribosomal RNA", at positions 8 to 518 of the family's 1533-position model. The record is from RNAcentral.
AGAGUUUGAUUAUGGCUCAGGAUGAACGCUAGCUACAGGCUUAACACAUGCAAGUCGAGGGGCAGCAUUGUCGAAGCUUGCUUGACAGAUGGCGACCGGCGCACGGGUGAGUAACGCGUAUCCAACCUUCCCCAUAGUAGGGCAUAGCCCGUAGAAAUGCGGAUUAAUACCCUAUGUUUUCCGAGGAUGACAUCUGAUUCGGAACAAAGGUUCACCGCUAUGGGAUGGGGAUGCGUCUGAUUAGGUAGUAGGCGGGGUAACGGCCCACCUAGCCGACGAUCAGUAGGGGUUCUGAGAGGAAGGUCCCCCACAUUGGAACUGAGACACGGUCCAAACUCCUACGGGAGGCAGCAGUGAGGAAUAUUGGUCAACGGGCGCGAGCCUGAACCAGCCAAGUAAGCGUGCAGGACGACGGCCCUAUGGGUUGUAAACUGCUUUUAUACAGGGAUAAAGUCGGGGACGCGUUCCCCGUUUGCAGGUACUGUAUGAAUAAGGACCGGCUAAUUCCGUGCCAGCCGCGGC